AAGGUCACGGCGAGACGAGCCGUUUAUCAUUACGAUAGGUGUCAAGUGGAAGUGCAGUGAUGUAUGUAGCUGAGGCAUCCUAACAGACCAAUAGACUUGAAC
Molecule: ribosomal RNA, 102 nt
Filed under: Larrea tridentata (creosote bush)
Lineage: Eukaryota; Viridiplantae; Streptophyta; Magnoliopsida; Zygophyllales; Zygophyllaceae
Description: 4.5S ribosomal RNA
Source: RNAcentral